Molecule: long non-coding RNA, 686 nt
Organism: Armigeres subalbatus
Lineage: Eukaryota; Metazoa; Arthropoda; Insecta; Diptera; Culicidae
Exons: 2
Source: RefSeq, a predicted model, not a curated record
UCUGUCACCGGAACAUAGAAUGCAGCACAGUAUUCGCCAGAAGGCGCUCAAGCUUCGAGCCAAUCCCCUUUACGGAUGGAAGGGCUACAACAGAUCCCGAUUCUACGCUAAGCACAUGGCCGCUCUGAUCACACUAAAAGGUUGGGAAAUUCUUAAGAAUACCAAAUGAAAACCAUUGUGGAAAAACUGUACUAUCAGGUUAUCUAUGGCGACACGGACAGUAUCAUGAUCAACACCAAACAGCAUCGAUUAUGGCGAGAUGUUCGAGAUAAGUGCUAACAUCAAGUAGAUCGUCAAUAAUACACAAAUGGUUAGAGCAGGACAUCGACGGUUUGUACAAGUACGUCCUGCUGUUGAAGAGAAGAAAGUACAACCGUUUUGAUAGCCAAGAUCGAGGAAAUAUUCAACUGCACCCAGAAGCAGAAAGGUUUGGAUAUCGUUCGGCGAAAUUGUUCGAGGCUGGCGGUAAUUACUGUAACUGUAAACAUUGGAUGAAAUCUUGUCGGACAAACCGAUGGAUGAGCGAAUAGGGAACAUUCACACACAGAUGGACAAGUUAAAAAUGAUCUCAUGACCCCACUGCAGCAGCUUCCCUCCUCGAAGGCACAAAGCAAAUAACUAUACCGCUCAAUAAAUAUCAGGAUACGAUGCAAUGUGAAUAAAUAAAAUAAUGAAUUUAAUACGAG